CUACCGAAAAUAUCCUCCAAUUUUUGCCGUCAUUCGCGGAAAGGAAGGAGAUAGCGGCUGCGUCGGUGCCGAAUUCCUUGCCUGCGUGGCCGCGCCCACAAUUCGGGAUGCUCGAGGGCGAUGUCGUGUCCGGCGUCGAUCUACCCCGCUAUGCUCGUUGAGUAUGUGGUGCCGCUGUCCUUGAAGGCAUACGUCCUAGCCAUGGUGAUGGGGGCUGCAUGGGCCGUUGCCAUUGAUGGCAGGCGCUGUGGCCGGGAAACGGCGGCUGCGCGUGCUACGGUGACGGUGGGUCGGGAGACGGCCUCCGCGCUGAAGACGGAGGCUGAGCGGUUUCUAUGUGCUGGAGUUUGCUCCGGCGGCAUGGAGAGGAGCUGCAGCCGGCGCAUCGCAAAGGGAUGGAGGCCCCCUUCAUCCAGUCACCGAUUAUAUGUGGGUACGUGUAUUUCUGCAACCUCAUGUAUUAGUCUGAAGCAUACUAUUCUAUUAUGCUCGAAGCCCAAAUAGUAAAUAGGAUGUGCUUUGCAUAGAGUCGAUGCUCACAAACAUGGGGCUAAUUAUACAUGGUAAACAUGAAUAAACCAUAGGUCUUACCGAACCAAAUUAGAUAGGAGUCUGCGUGCGUUUAUCUUAGCCGUGUGGCACCCGGGUUGAUAGUCGAGCUGAUUGAAUUGGAGGCGGGGAAAGAUCAGCAGGAAACCAAUGCCACGAAGAGUGCGUGAGGUUUGUAUGCCAAGUUAUCCAACAUUGUGUGUGUGGAAUCAAACUUAUAUGCAACCAUGGAUAGGAAAGUGAUCCUGUAUUAAUUAAUUAGAGUUAAUGCGCAUUAUUACACUAGGAAUUAGUGGGGAAACAAAAAAAAUGGAAAGAACAUAUAUAUGGCAGUUGAUCCCGGACAGAAUCUCAUAUGUCAUUGAUUUUUUUCAUCCAGCUGGAUUUAUAAUGAUGACAUACGUAUAAAAAUAGAUCCUUGUGAAGCUGUUUUAGAGGCGACGAACACUAAGUGGCUGUGCGAACAUCAUUAUAGAGCAUUGAAGUGAAUUUUGCAUCAGACUUGAACCCUCCUCAUUCAUUGAACAUGAACAUGGCUCAUUCGUUGAACAAUCAAGCUGGCCCGGUUCUGCAAGGACCCUAGAGCAUCUCCUAGUGCUGCACGGCAGGCUGCCAGCUCGUAGGGCUGCUGGUUGUCUGGUUGGAAGACAAGCUGGCUCAUGUAUGUCGUUUUCCAGUACCCUACAAAAUAGGUUUAAUAAAACAACAUACAAUACAUAUUUUUAUAUAAGAUGGUCAUGUUAAACAUUCUUCAAUUACACAAGCACUCAUGUUGUGCUCUGUUGACCUCAAGCAUUGUGGCACCUAAAGUCCAGAGCCCCUGCUUUGCUAGUCCCCACCGCAUCAAGUGGCGUGACACAUGCUGGUCCCAGACAUGUAGGUAGAUAAACUCCCUCCUGGUUGAGCAAUAAAAUGUUAGCCCACUGCCAAUAAAAUGUACUCCCUUCAUUAGGACCACAUGUCGGUAUGGCGUGGUACGGUCGUCUGACCUGUGUAACAUUAUUUUGCUGACAUGCAUCACUAUGCCAAUGACAUCUGGGAAAAAAUGAUGUGAAUUUGUUAAGAAAGUCUGGCUCAACUACAUGUCAGCAAAAUUCAUUGUGAAAUGAUACAAUGCACCUGCAAGCAUCCUGUUUCUGAGGCCAUAUACAUCUAUAAAAUCAAUGAAUCGUGGCGGCAAUGAAGGGGUGUUAAUGCUAGCCCUGGCAAGAAGUAUUUCAGUGCACGAGUGGAGGACGAUGUAAAAGUCACAUGGAACCGGCAAUGCAACUAGCAUAUGCAUAGCUGCUGGUUCAAACCCAACUUUUUGAAUAAGUAUACAGAGCCGACACGUAGGUUGUCGCUGAAGCGAUAUGCGAUUGGUUGAAAUGGAUCAAAUGCAAUUGCAUCCAUUUUGACCCCCUGGAAAUUUAUUGCAUACAUGAGCAGCAUGUUGAAUAUAUUAUCAGCAGAUCACUUAAUAGCAUAUCAUUUUUGAAGACUUACAGUUUGGUCGAUGAGGAUGGCGUGAAAGAUGGCUGCUCCACUCCGGGUAUGUUUGAUACGAGCAUACAAAACCUUUGCCGUUGCGUCCCAACCUCUACUGUAUAUAUGUAGGUUUUCUAUUUCGCUGAACCUUACAUGUCUGCAAUUGGUUGACAAAGAGCACAAUUCUGUAUAUUUAUUUAUGCAAAUAACUAAAAGCAGGAAUGGAUAAAAUGUUGCCUGUCGAUCGGCGGUGGAGGGCCAAUGGGAGUGGGAACGAAGUUCACAGGCGGUGGUGCCAUGACCCUCUUCGAGCCAGGACGGCCCAUCCUGGGUCCCAUCGCCAUGAGCGCCAAGACUCUAUUCCUCUUCAACACGACUCAUGGUUCAGAACGCAGAAUGUUUUUUAUAGCAUGGUAUAUGGCGGGAAAUAGAAGCACUGGAAUUUUGUAUUGGCAUGGUAUAUAGACGUAUAUUGACUGAUCUGACUAUUUUCAUUUUCAUUGGCGUGAAGUAAAUCAUGGUGAUAGAAAAAGGAAGUGAUUGAAAGAAGGAAGGAGAUUGAUCACCGUUUGAUUGAAAGAAGGGAUGAGAUUGAUCACCGUCAUGAAUGAAUUGAUUGCCAUGCAUGAAUUGAUUGCGUUUGGAUUGAUUGUUGAUUGAUUGUGCUUGGUUGCCUUAUGUGAAUUAUUUCUUUACCAAAGAUAGAGUCGAUUGAAGGGAGAAAAGAAAAUCGGCAGAGGGAGAAAACCGAU
RNAcentral lists this long non-coding RNA (2768 nucleotides) under Triticum aestivum (bread wheat). Its description in RNAcentral is "long non-coding RNA (TAES_LNC014763)". The record is from RNAcentral. Lineage: Eukaryota; Viridiplantae; Streptophyta; Magnoliopsida; Poales; Poaceae.